UAAGACGAACCGUGCGAACGUUGUUCGGAAUCACUGGGCUUAAAGGGCGCGUAGGCGGGCCGCCAAGUCCGGGGUGAAAGCCCCCAGCUCAACUGGGGAAUGGCCUGGGAUACUGGCGGCCUCGAGGGAGGUAGGGGCGGUCGGAACUUCCGGUGGAGCGGUGAAAUGCGUAGAUAUCGGAAGGAACGCCGGUGGCGAAAGCGGACCGCUGGGCCUUUACUGACGCUGAGGCGCGAAAGCCAGGGGAGCGAACGGGAUUAGAUACCCCGGUAGUCCUGGCCCUAAACGAUGGGUACUAGGUAGGGGGCUUGCAUGGGCCCCCUGCCGAAGCCAAAGUGCUAAGUACCCCGCCUGGGGAGUAUGGUCGCAAGGCUG
Molecule: ribosomal RNA, 375 nt
Filed under: uncultured bacterium
Lineage: Bacteria
Description: bacterial SSU rRNA
Rfam family: Bacterial small subunit ribosomal RNA
Source: RNAcentral